Molecule: ribosomal RNA, 213 nt
Filed under: uncultured bacterium
Lineage: Bacteria
Description: partial 16S ribosomal RNA
Rfam family: Bacterial small subunit ribosomal RNA
Source: RNAcentral
UACGGGACAACAUUCCGAAAGGAGUGCUAAUACCGGAUGUGAUCAUCUUGCCGCAUGGCAGGAUGAAGAAAGAUGGCCUCUACAAGUAAGCUAUCGCUAAAGGAUGGGCCUGCGUCUGAUUAGCUAGUUGGUAGUGUAACGGACUACCAAGGCGAUGAUCAGUAGCCGGUCUGAGAGGAUGAACGGCCACAUUGGGACUGAGACACGGCCCAA